GAACGUAUGGCUUAGUUGGUUAGAGCGCUGGAUGGCUUUCAAGAGACACGGGUUCGAAUCCCGCUACGUUCA
Molecule: transfer RNA, 72 nt
Filed under: Heliconius melpomene (postman butterfly)
Lineage: Eukaryota; Metazoa; Arthropoda; Insecta; Lepidoptera; Nymphalidae
Description: tRNA HMEL002209
Rfam family: tRNA
About the family: Transfer RNA (tRNA) molecules are approximately 80 nucleotides in length. Their secondary structure includes four short double-helical elements and three loops (D, anti-codon, and T loops). Further hydrogen bonds mediate the characteristic L-shaped molecular structure. tRNAs have two regions of fundamental functional importance: the anti-codon, which is responsible for specific mRNA codon recognition, and the 3' end, to which the tRNAs corresponding amino acid is attached (by aminoacyl-tRNA synthetases). tRNAs cope with the degeneracy of the genetic code in two manners: having more than one tRNA (with a specific anti-codon) for a particular amino acid; and 'wobble' base-pairing, i.e. permitting non-standard base-pairing at the 3rd anti-codon position.
Source: RNAcentral